Molecule: long non-coding RNA, 844 nt
Organism: Mus musculus (house mouse)
Lineage: Eukaryota; Metazoa; Chordata; Mammalia; Rodentia; Muridae
Product: predicted gene, 35746
Exons: 3
Source: RefSeq, a predicted model, not a curated record
UGUUGGCUCUCUAUUUUGUUUACUGAGUUAUGGCCUCUCACUGUGAGUGGAGCUCAGGAUUCGUCUAUUCUGCUUACAGAAUUCCUGUUUCUACCUUCCAAGCACUGAGACUACAAGCAGAUGCCUGGUUUGUAUGUAGGUGCUGGGGAUCCAAACUCCAGUGUCCACGAGUCUUGACUGGCUCCCCUCCGGGAUAGAGCACAGAGGAAACCGCUACACCACAGUUCCUUAGGAAAGGGAGCUGUGAGGAUCACAUGGGCUGUAGAUGUGACGCAACCCGAGAACAUGAGUGUGAGCACUCGACUGCAGCCACACACCCUGCCCUGAACUUGCCAGGAUCAAGACCAGACAAGCAGCAGGCUCAUCGCCUCCAAACAAGGAGGUGAGGACACUGGUAGGAAGCCAAGCCUGGGCCAAUUAUGAAGUGGCUAAGAGAAGAAACCAGAAGCCAAGAGUAGAAGAUUCAGAUAAGAAGCCAAACUGUGACAGAAGACCAGCCAAGUCGGAUCACACUUUGGGGAAGCAAUGUGGGAGAAUGUUCUCCAAGAAUGACACAGCCUAGCACUGGCUAAUAUUUUCCCUUAUUAAACGUAUGACUGAAUAUCUAAACCCAAGUCUCUGGGGAUGCAGCAGAGAGCACUACAAGUCCCUGGGGGCAAUUUCAAGUAAAACGCCUUGGAUCCGCAUCAGGGAAGAAGAAAACAGAUUCCUACAAAUUGCCUAAACGGUAAGCUAAAGGCAAUCAGGAGAGAUUAUGGAAAUUCUCUCCUCAAUAUUCAAAUUGAGGAGCCUUUACCAGAAUGUUGCAAAACAGAAAAAAUAAAGCUGGGGACUGUGAUGGAUA